UACGAGUGCCUCGAGCGUUAUCCGGAAUCAUUGGGCGUAAAGGGUGUGCAGGCGGUCUGAUUAGUCUUCUGUUAAAUUCUUCGGCUUAACCGGGGACAUGCAGGGGAAACGGUCAGACUUGAGGAUGCGAGAGGUUAACGGAACUCAUAGUGUAGCGGUGAAAUGCGUUGAUAUUAUGGGGAACACCAAAUGCGAAGGCAGUUAACUGGAGCACUCCUGACGCUGAAACACGAAAGCGUGGGUAGCGAAUGGG
Molecule: ribosomal RNA, 253 nt
Filed under: uncultured bacterium
Lineage: Bacteria
Description: partial 16S ribosomal RNA
Rfam family: Bacterial small subunit ribosomal RNA
Source: RNAcentral